RNAcentral lists this long non-coding RNA (669 nucleotides) under Homo sapiens (human). RNAcentral describes it as "non-protein coding lnc-FAM186B-3:3". Lineage: Eukaryota; Metazoa; Chordata; Mammalia; Primates; Hominidae. The record is from RNAcentral.
GGACCUGUCUCUGGAGGGUCCGGCCUGGAAGAUAUCCCGGAAACAAGGUAUCCCCCACCCCCUGCCCCAGCAGGAAGCAGUGUGAGGUCGUCCCUCCCAGCCUCUCGCUGUCCUUUCUAGCCCUGGGCUUGGUGUCCAUGGGGACCCUCGUGGACCACCUGAGGCAGGGAUUCCUUGGUGUCUGCAGGAAGCAGAGCUGGUCCAUGGAAGCUCCUGGCUCUCUCUGGCCUUUCCCCAUCCCAUCAAUCCCUCCCCAUCCCAUCAUCCCUUCUUUCUUUCUGCUUCCACAGGUGUCAUCAAGCUGAAGAACAACGGUGAUUUCUUCAUUGCCAAUGAGGGUCGACGGCCCAUCUACAUCGAUGGACGGCCGGUGCUCUGUGGCUCCAAAUGGCGCCUCAGCAACAACUCUGUGGUGGAGAUCGCCAGCCUGCGAUUCGUCUUCCUUAUCAACCAGGACCUCAUUGCCCUCAUCAGGGCUGAGGCUGCCAAGAUCACACCACAGUGAGGAGUGGUGGCAGGACUCGUGGGCCCUCUCCGGCCUGUUUCCCCUGCCACUCCAGCCCCCUUGAGCUGGGAACUCAGGCUCCUGGAAAAACCUGGGCAGUGGGAGGCUCAGCUGCGGGCCAUUGAUUUGAGCCUUUGAGGGAGGAUAGGGCUGGCCUUUGUGAA